This 364-nucleotide ribosomal RNA is filed under the name uncultured bacterium. RNAcentral describes it as "partial 16S ribosomal RNA". It matches the Rfam family "Bacterial small subunit ribosomal RNA", at positions 338 to 699 of the family's 1533-position model. The record is from RNAcentral.
CCUACGGGUGGCAGCAGUGAGGAAUAUUGGUCAAUGGACGCAAGUCUGAACCAGCCAUGCCGCGUGCAGGAAGACGGCUCUAUGAGUUGUAAACUGCUUUUGUACGAGGGUAAACGCAGAUACGUGUAUCUGCCUCAAAGUAUCGUACGAACAAGGAUCGGCUAACCCCGUGCCAGCAGACGCGGCAAUACGGAGGAUUCAAGCGUUAUCCGGAUUUAUUGGGUUUAAGGGGUGCGUAGGCGGUCGGGUAAGUUAGAGGUGAAAUCCCGAGGCUCAACUUCGGAAUUGCCUCUGAUACUGGUCGGCUAGAGAGUAGUUGCGGUAGGUAGAAUGUAUGGUGUAGCGGUGAAAUGCUUAGAGAUCA